This is a long non-coding RNA of Cavia porcellus (domestic guinea pig), 1237 nucleotides long. RefSeq lists it as uncharacterized. The transcript has 2 exons. NCBI's taxonomy places the organism in Eukaryota, Metazoa, Chordata, Mammalia, Rodentia, Caviidae. The record is from RefSeq and is a predicted model, not a curated record.
GUGCUGUGGGCGCCCCUGCCUCGUGGGUGGCCAGGCUGGGCCCAAGCUGUGUGGGAUGAGGGAAAGCUGCCCAGCCCAGCCCAGCCCAGCCCAGCCCGGCCCUGGCCCGCAGGUGUGUGUGACAAGCACCCAGGCACAGGGCCCUGGCUCGGGCGGGGCAGGGACAGCAGGGCUCAGCUGAGGCAGAUGCCCCUGUGUGGUGGCACAGCAGAGACACAGUGGUAUGGGGCUGCAGAGGACAGAGAGGGCAGUGUGAGGGCAUCACUGGGAGGGCAGCACCCACCCCAGCGGGUCCCUUUGGCCCACACGAGCCUGCUCCAGAUCCCGUAGUCGGUGCUCCCCAGUGGCAACGCUCAUCUCACGGCAGGCUUGUCGGGAGAUGUCUAUCAGCUGUGCAGCAGGUGGUCACAGUGAUCCAGGAAGUCACCUGGGAGGUCUCAGCGGACAGCCUGGAGGACAGGAGACUUGAACAGGCCCAAUUGGUGACAGGGGAUGGAUUUGGAACAAGGGCAGAACAAGUGGCAGCAGUGAAUGUUGGGCUGGGUGUGGACACCUGCUCCGGUCCCAGGGUCAUGUCACACAGCAGAUUGGUCUGCAGGGCUACACCCAGGGACCCUGGGCAGGCUACCAACAAGCCAGACCUGCAUGCAGAGCUCAUUGAUGAAGGCCAGGCCUGAAGGACAAUGCUCCAAAGAUGCCUGCAACCUGGGCCUCAGGACUGGAGAGUGUGGAAGUUCAUGGAGCAGGUGUUCACCGAGUUCAGGGAUACAAGACAGAAGACUUGUCCAGCUUUUCCUAGAGAUCCCAGGCCAUCUCGAGUUUCCCAUCAGUGUCAAGCAGAGCCUGGGAGGUGUUUACUAUGGGCUGCAAGGAUGGAGGAUGGACAGCUCUUCAAGCAGCAGUGUGGUGGCCUCAUCAUCUCAGGAAGCCCAGGACCUUGGCAGGGUUGGGGGAGGCAGGAGUGGCCAGGCUUUGCCAGGCCCAGGAGACUUGGUUCCUGUAGUGUGGCCUAGGGCCAGUGAGGGUGCAGGGUGAGACCUGCUGUCCCUGGCCACAUGAGCUCCAAAUGCUAAAUGGCAUUGUUCUCAGCCUCAGGAGACCAAGGCAAGCCAUCCACGUCUGACCCAGAGAAUAGUAGAGGGGAGGGAUGGUGCCCUCUGAAGGACCCCAGGGCAGUUAACACUGAUUCUGAGGUUUAGCAACAGAUUGAUCCUUGAAUAAAGAAUGAACUAAGUCA